ACUCCUACGGGAGGCAGCAGUGGGGAAUAUUGCACAAUGGGCGCAAGCCUGAUGCAGCAACGCCGCGUGAGGGACGAAGGCCUUCGGGUUGUAAACCUCUUUUAGUUGGGAAGAAGCGAAAGUGACGGUACCAGCAGAAAAAGCACCGGCUAACUACGUGCCAGCAGCCGCGGUAAUACGUAGGGUGCAAGCGUUAUCCGGAAUUAUUGGGCGUAAAGAGCUCGUAGGCGGUUUGUCGCGUCUGCCGUGAAAACUGGAGGCUCAACCUCCAGCCUGCGGUGGGUACGGGCAGACUAGAGUGCGGUAGGGGAGAUUGGAAUUCCUGGUGUAGCGGUGGAAUGCGCAGAUAUCAGGAGGAACACCAAUGGCGAAGGCAGAUCUCUGGGCCGUAACUGACGCUGAGGAGCGAAAGCAUGGGGAGCGAACAGGAUUAGAUACCCUGGUAGUCCAUGCCGUAAACGUUGGGAACUAGAUGUAGGGACCAUUCCACGGUUUCUGUGUCGCAGCUAACGCAUUAAGUUCCCCGCCUGGGGAGUACGGCCGCAAGGCUAAAACUCAAAGGAAUUGACGGGGGCCCGCACAAGCGGCGGAGCAUGCGGAUUAAUUCGAUGCAACGCGAAGAACCUUACCAAGGCUUGACAUAUACCGGAAAUGGCUAGAAAUAGUCCCCCCGCAAGGUCGGUAUACAGGUGGUGCAUGGUUGUCGUCAGCUCGUGUCGUGAGAUGUUGGGUUAAGUCCCGCAACGAGCGCAACCCUCGUUCUAUGUUGCCAGCACGUAAUGGUGGGAACUCAUAGGAGACUGCCGGGGUCAACUCGGA
RNAcentral lists this ribosomal RNA (819 nucleotides) under uncultured Actinomycetes bacterium. RNAcentral's name for it is "bacterial SSU rRNA". It matches the Rfam family "Bacterial small subunit ribosomal RNA", at positions 335 to 1167 of the family's 1533-position model. Lineage: Bacteria; Bacillati; Actinomycetota; Actinomycetes. The record is from RNAcentral.